RNAcentral lists this ribosomal RNA (256 nucleotides) under uncultured bacterium. RNAcentral's name for it is "partial 16S ribosomal RNA". It matches the Rfam family "Bacterial small subunit ribosomal RNA", at positions 524 to 776 of the family's 1533-position model. The record is from RNAcentral.
UACGUAGGGUGCAAGCGUUGUCCGGAAUUAUUGGGCGUAAAGAGCUCGUAGGCGGUUUGUUGCGUCGGCUGUGAAAUCCCGAGGCUCAACCUCGGGUCUGCAGUCGAUACGAGCAAACUAGAGUGUUGCAGGGGAGACUGGAAUUCCUGGUGUAGCGGUGAAAUGCGCAGAUAUCAGGGAGGAACACCGGUGGCGAAGGCGGGUCUCUGGGCAACAACUGACGCUGGAGGAGCGAAAGCCGUGGGGAGCGAACAGG